GUACGGAAGGCAGCAGUGAGGAAUAUUGGACAAUGGGCGCAAGCCUGAUCCAGCCAUGCCGCGUGCAGGAUGACGGUCCUAUGGAUUGUAAACUGCUUUUAUACGAGAAGAAACACUCCGACGUGUCGGAGCUUGACGGUAUCGUAAGAAUAAGGAUCGGCUAACUCCGUGCCAACAGCCGCGGUAAUACGGAGGAUCCAAGCGUUAUCCGGAAUCAUUGGGUUUAAAGGGUCCGUAGGCGGUUUAAUAAGUCAGUGGUGAAAGCCCAUCGCUCAACGGUGGAACGGCCAUUGAUACUGUUAGACUUGAAUUAUUAGGAAGUAACUAGAAUAUGUAGUGUAGCGGUGAAAUGCUUAGAGAUUACAUGGAAUACCAAUUGCGAAGGCAGGUUACUACUAAUGGAUUGACGCUGAUGGACGAAAGCGUGGGUAGCGAACAGGAUUAGAUACCCGCGU
RNAcentral lists this ribosomal RNA (455 nucleotides) under uncultured bacterium. RNAcentral describes it as "bacterial SSU rRNA". It matches the Rfam family "Bacterial small subunit ribosomal RNA", at positions 339 to 791 of the family's 1533-position model. The record is from RNAcentral.